CGCGUAGGCGGCCGAUGAAGUCAGGCGUGAAAUCCCCGGGCUCAACCUGGGAAUUGCGCUUGAUACUCGUUGGCUUGAGUUCGGGAGAGGAGAGUGGAAUUCCCAGUGUAGAGGUGAAAUUCGUAGAUAUUGGGAAGAACACCGGUGGCGAAGGCGGCUCUCUGGACCGAUACUGACGCUGAGGCGCGAAAGCGUGGGGAGCAAACAGGAUUAGAUACCCUGGUAGUCCACGCUGUAAACGAUGUGUGCUAGACGUUGGGAGGCUUAGCCUUUCGGUGUCGGAGCAAACGCGAUAAGCACACCGCCUGGGGAGUACGGCCGCAAGGUUAAA
RNAcentral lists this ribosomal RNA (331 nucleotides) under uncultured bacterium. Its description in RNAcentral is "bacterial SSU rRNA". It matches the Rfam family "Bacterial small subunit ribosomal RNA", at positions 568 to 898 of the family's 1533-position model. The record is from RNAcentral.